This 72-nucleotide transfer RNA is filed under the name Ictidomys tridecemlineatus (thirteen-lined ground squirrel). RNAcentral describes it as "Spermophilus tridecemlineatus (thirteen-lined ground squirrel) tRNA". It matches the Rfam family "tRNA". Rfam says of the family: Transfer RNA (tRNA) molecules are approximately 80 nucleotides in length. Their secondary structure includes four short double-helical elements and three loops (D, anti-codon, and T loops). The record is from Rfam by way of RNAcentral. Lineage: Eukaryota; Metazoa; Chordata; Mammalia; Rodentia; Sciuridae.
GGGGGUAUAGCUCAAUGGUAGAUUGCUUGCCUAGCAUGCACAAGGCUCUGGGUUCCACUCCCAGCACUACCA